CGGACGGCGAGGCAGUAGUCCUCGGAGGCCCGGCAGUAGAUCUUGAAGAUCUGGUUGGGGCCGGACGCCGCCGGCGCCUGGUCCUUGUGGUGGUGCCCGAACCCGAACAUCUUGGCGGCGAGGAGAGCGUGUCUGAUCGGCUAGACUGGUUGGAGCUGUGCGAGUGAGGAGAGAGCGCUGCCCGAUGGCGCCAUUAUAUAGAGCCGAGAGCAGAGCAGAGCAGACCAGAGUCACCACUCACGCGCUGUAGAUAGUAAAAUCUUGAAAAUCUUUGGACCAUAUCUCCAGCGGCCUGGAAUAAAUGGCGGAAAGUAAUUGUAGGAUACGCUCGCUCGAUCGCUGCCAGUACAGUACAGUACAUCACAGCACUAGCCGUUUGGCCAAGAUUUUGGUUGCAUUAGCAAGAUUUUGGUCCGAUUAACAGCAGUGGCCGGUUGAUGCCAGUACCAAGUUUUGGUUCGAUUCAGCACUCAACAUUAGCUGUAUCCAUGCAAAUAUGCAAUGGCCAAAAAUGCCAGCAGCAUACCAUAUAAUUUUUUCUGUGUAUUACUAGUAGUUGAUCAUCCUUAGAGGCUAAGUAUCCUACUGUACUAAUUAAAGACUACAUAUUUGACUCUGCUCUUGGAUUUAUCUUGGUCCUGCAGCAGUAGCACUCCAGCAUCAGGCUUCGGCUCACACUUGGCAUUGCCUUGCAACAUACUAGCCGUUUGGUGUGAAUGUACUGGAAGGUUCUGGUUCGAUUCACCUACCCCCAGUGUUUUCCUCGGCAUUAACUUUGCAUUAGCUGUAUGCAUGCAAAUACGCAAUGCCAGCACGCCGGCGGUGUGAAUUGGAUUAUGGAGUACGGUUAGUGUUCUUGUAUUUUGUAGUCCAUCCAUUGACUCAUCCUAGCAGUGUUCUCUUCUAGCAAACUCAUCCUUAGAGGUUAAGCAUCUCUAUAAGUAAAGACUAGAUAUUUUACAGUUUUUUGAAUUAUUUUGUCCAUUUAUUUACUAACUAUUUGUAGUGUUUAAGGUGCUACCGUCUAAGGCUGCCUUGCCUUCUCGGUUGUCGUCGGCCCAAGUAGGCCGCCCUGAGGCCCUUUGGAUCGGUUCCGCAAUGGGCCAUCGGUUCGGUCCAUGGGCCUUUCCUCCACCGAUGUAGCCGACUAGGUUGUGUAACUCGUGGGGUCCGGAUGUUAUAUAAGUCGGGGUUGAGCUAGUCGAUAGGUCAUUAUAUAAUCAUGCCGUUUAUACCUUUAUACAUGCAAUCAUAGUAUGCACAUAGUAGGAAUAGAGUUCUACCUCUUUCAGAGGGGCCGAACCUAAGUAAAUCGCCUCAUGUUUUCCCUCUGCCCCAAUCGUCAUGUCCGGAUACCCUAUUGAGGGAUCUGUCGGAUUUAGCUCUCACAGUCUUUGUUCUUGAAAGAACAAAUGCCAUAUAUAAUAAGUUUUACAGAUGCUUACAAGAUUACCAUUACAAAAACCGGAAGAUACAUCAAAAUUCCUGGGGUGCCAAAAUACUACUUCUCCUGCAUCGACACACGUCGUGCUGUGAGGAAAACCCGUUAUCGUGUAUGCUACCAUUCCUUAAAACUCGGGAGUUUGUAGAAGCGAUGAUUUGGAAGCCGUUGAUGUAGACUAGUAGAUGACGAUGACCGCAAUGUAUGUAGCAGAUCACUUCUCCCUAGAAGAAAACACCGGAGAGGGCAUGUAUAUCACCCUAGGUCCGGCGAGAUGGAUUCUAGAAACACAAAACUCUUACACGCUCCACCACAAGAGUGAAGUUUGUGAAUCUUUCUCUGUGAGAACUAGAGCGAGAGAAUCAAGACACAGUCCUGCCAUCUAAGACAAACAUGCAGAAGAAAAGCCCCAACCUCCCUCCGAUAACAUCUCCACUUUCUUGGCUUGCUACAACACGUCACCAUCACUAUUGGCCCGGUUCCAUCACCGUCAACAUCGUGGACCUUCGCCAAGAUGAUGCCCCCUUCUUCACCUCCUUCCUUUACCGUCGUCGGCACUCCUUCUUCGAUUUUUGUCCAUCUAUGCUCACCCCUCGACAUUUCGAGCACACCUACGUGUUCUUGGUGAGAAACUAGACCCCUGCACCCCUCGAUAGGCUCCUGCAUCAUUUGAUUUGGCAUGGGCCCAAGGCACCUCCGCCACGGCAUGGUCGUCGGCUGGUCUCUAGUGACCCUUUGCUCCCGCCCGUUGUGUCGCUGCACACGCACCGUCGCGUGGGUCGUUUUUGCCGAACUUGUUGAUUCGCCCUUCCCUCUGAUACAACCCCAAAAUCUGGUUUCUAAUCCCUACAAGACAUUGCAAUCUUGCGUCGUCUAGAAGCACAUUUCCAGCAUAUGAUUGUGACACCACGAGAGGGUUAUAUACCAGUAACAAGGUGAAAAUCACGACAAAUACAACUACGAACAUAAGAGUAAUACGAUAUAUGUUAGGCAUACAUAUGUCGAUAGAUAAAUAUUCCACCAAACAUAGGCAACAUGACCCAACAUUGCAUGAAUCAUACAAGCAAGAAGGCACGAGUCCGAGUACAUACAAGAAGGAAAUAUGCCUAAGGGGCCAAAGAAAUAAGCAACAUCCACCUUGCUAAUCCGAGGCUAGUGAUGUCUACUACGCAACAUUCUCCUUGUAGACGUUGUUGGGCCUCCAAGUGCAGAGGUUUGUAGGACAGUAGCAAUUUUCUCUCAAGUGGGUGACCUAAGGUUUAUCAAUCCGCGGGAGGCGUAGGAUGAAGAUGAUCUCUCUCAAGCACCCUGCAACCAAAUAACAAAGAGUCUCUUGUGUCCCAAACACACCCAAUACAAUGGUCAGUUGUAUAGGUGCACUAGUUCGGCGAAGAGAUGGUGAAAUAAGUGCAAUAUGGAUGGUAGAUAUAGGUUUUUGUAAUCUGAAAUUACAAAAACAACAAGGAAACAAAUGGUAAAAGUGAGCACGAACGGUAUUGCAAUGCGUGGAAACAAGGCCUAGGGUUCAUACUUUCACUAGUGAAGUUCUCUCAAAAAAGAUAACAUAAUUGGAUCAUAUAACUAGCCCUCAACAUGCAACAAAGAGUCACUCCAAAGUCACUAAUAGCGGAGAACAAACGAAGAAAUUAUUGUCGGAUACGAAACCACCAUAAAGUUAUUCUUUCUGAUCGAUCUAUUUAAGAGUUCGUACUAGAAUAACACCUUAAGAUACAUAUCAACCAAGACCCUAAUGUCACGUAGAUACUCCAUUGUCACCUCAAGUAUCCGUGGGCAUGAUUAUACGAUAUGCAUCACAGAAUCUCAGAAUCAUCUAUUCAACCAACACAUAGGACUUCAAAGAGUGCCCCGAAGUUUCUACCGGAGAGUCAAAACGUGUGCCAACCCCUAUGCAUAGGUUCUCAAUGUCACGAACCCGCAAGUUGAUCACCAAAACAUACAUCGAGUACUCACAUGAAUCCACGUGUGCCAACCCAUACAUAGGUUCCCAAUUGUCACAAACCCGCAAGUUGAUCACAGCAGAUAGACACGUGCAAGAUAUACAUCAAGUGUUCUCAAAGACUCAAUCCGAUAAGAUAACUUCAAAGGGGAAACUCAAUUCAUUACAAGAAGGGAGAGGGGGAAGAACAUCAUAAGAUCCAACUAUAGUAGCAAAGCCCACGGUACAUCGAGAUCAAGACAUCUCAAGAACACGAGAGAGAGAGAUCAAACACAUAGCUACUGGUACAUACCCUCAGCCCCGAGGGAGAACUACUCCCUCCUCGUCAUGGAGAUCGUCGGGAUGAUGAAGAUGGCCACCGGAGAUAGAUUCCCCCUCCGGCAGGGUGCCGGAACGGUCUCCAGAUUGGUUUUUGGUGGCUACACAGGCUUGCGGCGGCGGAACUUCCGAUCUAGGUUUCUUUCUGGAGGUUUCCGUAUUUAUAAGACUAGAUGGCGUCGAGAACAAGUCAGGGGGACCCACGAGGGAGUCACACGCCCUUGGGGCGCGGCCAGGGGGGUGGGGGCGCCCCCAGGCUUGUGGCUUCCUCGGGACUCUUCUCCGGUAUAUUUUUCUUCUGGUAUUUUUGAUAUUUUCCAGAAAAAAUCUUUUCGGGGAUUUUCUUCCUUUUGGACUCCGUUUCAAAAUCUCCUCUGAAAGGGGUCAAAAAUAUGGAAAAAGCAGGAACUGGCACUUGGCACUGAGUUAAUAAGUUAGUCCCUAAAAAUAUAUAAAAGGCAUGCAAAACAUCCAAAGUUUGACAAGAUAAUAGCAUGGAACCAUCAAAAAUUAUAGAUACGUUGAAGACGUAUCAACUAGCAAGUUGGAUGAUAUGCUAAUGAUCGUCAUCGAAGAGCAACGCCAAAUAUAGUGUAUCAUGCUCUCACCUUGGAGCAAUGCUUUACUUGUAAUUGCACUUGUGCGUGUUGUAGUAUCUGUGGGCCUUUAGGACUUCACAAGUCUCGUUACCAAGGGUAUCACACGAAAACUACUUAAUGGGUUGGGAUGGUUAAGUUGUGAUGUUGCAACAAGCACUAGUCCGAUGAGUACUAGAACAAGAUAAGAUAAGAUAAAUCCUACCCAUAAGGGGGUGGCAAUUAGAUAAUCAAUAAGUUACCCUAAACACUAUGUACAAAUUUUGCUUGCAUUCCCACAAGAAGUGAUUGUCGUGGUACACACACGGUUUGUAAGUUUUAGUUAUUAGUUGAAGUUCUCUACAACUGGAUAUUGUAAUUUUUGAAGUCAUGUGUAACCGUGGGCAUGGCUUUUCAAAAGAUUUAACCCUGUAUGGGUCCUACUAAUUCCUCCAUGGUAGAUUUCCGCGCGCAUACCCGUUCCUCCAAGUCCAUGGCCCAUGGGAACCCUCGUGCAAAGCAUGAUGUGUUUCAGGAAUUUUGGAGCAACAAAUCCUCGAUCUAAUGUAGAACUAGCAGCUAGAGAGGCCUCCCGAUGAGUCUUAUUGGGCUAUGAGCCGCACACACUGUAUCCUCAGACCCAUUCGUCUAUGCCAAGUGGAUAGUGAACCAAAACCUCGAGUUUUUCCAUGGUGGAACCUCACUUCUAGGUAGGGGCCAACGCUUUUUCGAGCACCCGCCUAAGUUAUUUCAAAAGUACCUUGAGGGGUGACCCUCUAUGCGACUUUUAUGUUGGAUAAUGUUAACAAAAAUGUUGCACCUCUCUGGAAAAGUUUAGUGCUAGAUAAAGAGGUCAAGGGGAGCCUCAUAAUCCCCACACAUAUUAUGAGCGCUCGUAGAAAACAUAAAACUAGGGUUACGAAACUAAGAGAACAACAGUGAAACAAAUCACCGGGGCAUAGGUAUGAGAUUUCCAUCCUUUACCAAGUGUAUAGUCAAGAUUAGUUAAAUAAGCAAGAUAUGAUAUCUCAGGAUGUCCAUAUCUCAACAUGGAACAACCUGCACCUACAAGUAGCAAAUCUAUAAAAGGAGCCGAGCAAGCGGUAGCAUGGCAAUCUAUGGUUUGCUAGGAUAGUGAAGGUUAUGGGCUAUAUCAUGGCAAAUGUUAGGCUUGCAAACAAGUGGUAGGUAGCGAGACCGGACAAUAGCAUCGUGACAUCUAGCAAGCAAAGUUAGUAAUCAUAUCCAAGAUAAUGAUCAUUCUUGUGUGAGAUUCCACUUUGAAGAUCGAAACCACAAAGUGUAGUCGAACAAAAUCCUUGUACUUCGUAUCGUUAUCGGGAGCUAACGAGAAGAAGAAGAACCGGAAAGAAGCAAACGGUAUGAUAAACAAACAUAUCAUGGCAUAAUGACAAUCAGCAUGAAUCAUGACAAGUUUAAUGAUUUUACAUGGCAACCUAUAACUAGAAAAGUUAAAGAAAGCCUUGAUCCAUGUGUGGUAUGAAUCAAAUGAAACUCCAUAUGCAUUUUCUUUUCUUUUUUGAGCAAGUUAAACUCCGAGAUCAUGUCCCUUUUGCAUUUUAGUCACUAUUAUUUGGUUAACUCGCAAGUUCUUGAUACUUGCGUAAAAUUUGACAAAUGAUAUAUAUAUGUUUUUCGACUAGAGUUUCGCAAGCUGGUCGUACCAUCAUUCACACGCCUCACAACGAUGUCAAGAAACACCAUUGCAACGUGGAGGGAGUGGGGAUGAUUUUAUGCCGACAGCGACACCAUCGCCUCACCUUGACGAGUGGAGACCAAAAUAAAAAUUUGAAAGCCCACCAUAGCAUCGCGUGUCUCACAAAGUGAGAGCAGACUCAUGAUCGCAAGGGAGGAGGCAGAUUGGCGCUAUUGUCCUGGCUCAUAGAAUUUCACCCGAAGUGGAGGGGGAGGAAAACGCUUCAUAGCGCGAGGUGGGAUUGAUGAGUAGCCAUAUACUCGCUCCAUUUCAUUAUAUAAGGCCACACACUCAGAUUACAGGUACCAAGGUAAAAUUCAAUGACUGCAUCGUGAGCCUACUUUUUGUUUUGUUAACCGAGAUCAUUAAUACAACACAUGGAUACAAAGAAAAAAAUGAGAAGAAAGUAGUUAAGUAUUUUUUUUUAACGAAGACAAAAGAUUACCUCAUCUAUUAGUUAAGCGGAAGAGAAUUGCCCUACAUGUAUGCGAACUUUAAACAAGUUGCUAAUAUGAGGAAAUAUUGUUAAUUUUUUCCUCGGUUACUCUUGAUGGUUUUAUGUAGAUGUAAAAUGGUUUCUUUUAUAAUGACCUUGUAUAAAGAAACAGAGGAAACAAUAUUUUUGAAACGAAAAUAUGCACGCCGUAUUUCAGAAUCGAGAAAGAAAACUGCAAAAGCAAAGCAUCUUCUAGCGACGAACGGCCUUGCUCGGAAGCGUGCACCCGACGCUGCGUGAUUCCCCCCCACAAAACAAGGUGGGAUUCCCAGUUCGGAUGCCCCCAUGCCUGCGGUCGCUCGCUCUUGUAGUCUUCCUCAGCUCCGGUACACGGCGCUUUGCUUUGCUUUGAUCAUGGCGGGAUGCUUCUUUUCCGUUCGGUGAUGUGUCGACUCGCGAAUCUCGAUCGAUCGACGUGCCCCCCACUUGCGUGGACCAAGCUAUCAUGGAGAUGGCAAGCGGAACCCGAAAGAAGUUCACAUGCCCAAGGCGACGGUCGAGCCAGGCCAUUCAUUUUUCUGACAGAAACCACCGCACGGGACAUGUUGUUAGCAAGCUCAAACUUCACGUAGAAUUCUCUGGCAGAAACAAUGGCGUUUGCACUGAUCAUGCAUAUAUCCCCGCGUACAAGGCUGCACCUGUUGUAUUUUUACUCCAACCGUGUGAUGUGAACCCAUAUUUGUUUUGCUAAAAAACAGUUGAUCGAGACUUCAGGAAGCCUCAAUCCAUACUAUAAUCCGUUGAUUUUACAUUAAGAUUCGUGUAGAUAAAUUUUUUUUCUUGCAUACUAUACUACUUUGAGACUUCACGAAGUUUCAUUUGACUGAGACCUAGACACACCUAUUUACAUUGAGAUUUAUUAACUGCUCAACUCCCUGGGGUUCUCGAAACAUGGAGGACGUGCAACGCAAAAGUGUCCACAUAGAUCAACGUUCGGCUGGCGCAGGUGAGGUAGGUGAACCUGCCGGUGCACUAUCAAGUUUACGAGGCAAGCUCUUGUCUUGGUGCGAGUAAAACGGGAGGCGAACUGGACGGACGGCCACUGCUCGCCUCGCUUGCGUGGCCAUGUGUGCGCUGCCCUGCUAUUGUUGGGAAACAGUACAGUACAGCUUGAUUUUGGGGUCAGGGAAGCGUACAACUCAUGUGAGGUUUAGCCUGUCGUGUCGAUCUUGUUUGUUUCGAGGGCUUUGGCUAUUUGCUAGUAGGAAGUAGUACGGGACUUGGUGAAGUGAACCAACCACUUCUUUGACCGAUUUUAAAGUGCUGCGUACUCUUGUAAUCUGUUGGCGGGGCUUGGCUGGUGUGAUGGAGCUCGCCUGCCAAUAUGUGCACAUCCACCCGUGGAAGGAUCAGUUGAGAACGUGUCCGUGUGUCCGCGUCACGACAGCGACAAGGCAUCGACGCCGUGGGCCGGCCAAGAUCAGUUUCUUGACGCCGACAGUAAAUAAAAAGUAAAUAAAACACGGUUUACGAUAACACGUACACUCUCUCUCGUGACCGGUGGAAGUAAGAGGAUAACUUCUUUCAAUGAACUGUUUCCAUGAACUGGUCAAACGGGACCGGCCCGGAAGCACGCCAGCUCGGCACGGUAUGGGUUAAUCAGACCGUCUCAGGCACGCAGCCCGUCUCGGGCCUGAGGGCUGGGUACGCGGGCCGGCACGGCAUGACCCGUUUAUCAUAUUUACUAUUUAUUCCCCCCCCCCAUAUAUAUACAUAAUAAAUAAAAUAACCUAAUAAAUCAAAAUCGGUUCAAAACACAGUUCAAUAUGUUGGUCCAAAAAACAGCCAAACAUGUCAAAAUCAGCCCAAAUAACAGCCUAAAAUAAAAAAGAAAACUAAUAGGCUAGCGGGUCUGGCGUGCCACGGACCGGUCCGUAUAGCCUCCUUGUCGUGCCUGGACCGGGAGGCUGCGCACGUGGGCGGCACAACACGGCCCAGCUAAUAUUCGUGCCCGGGCGGGCCAUGUCGUGCCAAACCCGUUUAUGGGGCCGUGCCGGGCCGGCCCGUUUGACCAGGACUGAAUUGGUCCUUUGGGCAACACACACAUGCGCGCGCGCGCGCACACACACACAAUGGUUCUUUUUUUUAAGAAAACUUGCCACUUUAUUUAUCGCAUUUAAAAUGUCAGGUACAUGAACGAAAUUGGGUGUGGCAAUAAAAAAAUGGUUCUUUGUUUUAUGCAUGGUGUUUGACACUAGUUGGGCAGGUUCCUAAGAUUGUCGAUGUCCAAAUUUAUAACUGCCCAGUUUGAUCCAGCAAAAUCUAUGACUUAUAAUUCUGAAAAAUAGACAAAAUUUACCCUAAGAAAAUACUCUUCGUUCCUAAAUAUAAGACCUUUUAAAAAUUUCGCUUUCAACUACAUUCGAUGUAAAAUGAGUGAAUCUAUACUCUAAAAUAUGUCUACAUACAUCCGUAUUUAGUUCAUAGUGAAAUAUCAAAAAUGUCUUAUAUUUUAAAACGAAGGGAGUAAUUGUUACAGAGUUUUUGUUGAAAACCCCUCACAUAUGUUAAUCAAUUAAAAUAUUCAUACAAUCAUCCAUUACAUCUUUCUCCACACAAGGCGGAUCAUACCUAUUCACAAAACUAAACUUGGCAAUCAAGUGUGCCAUCCUAUUGCCCUUUCUUUUAAUCUUGGACAUCUUGAACUCUGUCAACAUUUUAGAGACACCCAACGCUUCUUUCUUUAGAACAACAAAGGGAGACAUGUCACACAAAUAUCUUUUGGAGGCCUAGCUUCAUGGAGGCCUUCAAAUGCGAAAUUUAAAUUUCACGAAAAUUCAUAUUUUACAUGUUAUUUUUUAUAAAAAAAAUACAUAAAUAGAUGAAAGUAUAAUGCAUAAGUGUGUACAUUUUUAGGACUAAAUACGUUGAAAUGAGGGCUGUGCAAAAAAGACAAUUCUGAGACUUUUAAACAAAUGAUACUAUUCAUCAUUUUAGACCAUGGAAUUGUCUUUCUUUGUAUAGGUUGUGUUUCAAAGUAUUUCAACCUAGAAUUUUACACACAUGCGGCUCACAUCCUCGUUUAGUUAUACAAUUAUUUUUACAUUUUUUUGAAAUCAAUUUUUUCUAAUUUUGAAUUUUUGAAAAAUUCGGCCUCCAUGGAGGCCAAGAGCCAAAACGCCAUUCUCGACAUGUCAAGAUUAUCAUUUCCAAGCAAUAGAACCACAAAAGAACAACCAGUUUUCAAAAUGGUAGUUGUGCAGAGUGAUACCGAUAUAAAGAACAACGAGGAUCACUCUAAGUUUCACUUCAUCCGCACUAUUGCAAGCCUCAAUAUAAUCCGAGGAGAAAAUGAUAACUUCUGCAGUUUUGUUUCGGGAAACUCCCCCCCCCCCUUGUCGUGCUAAUGACCUUCAGAAAACUUGCAUCGACACUAAUCAGGAACUCCGAAGCGUGAGGCUGCCAAGAAAGAAAAAAUUCCUCUCCACAUUACUGGUGGAUUUCACUGCAUCUUUACAUUUGUUGCUGACCUUCACCUGCUUAUUGGUAUGAAACGACGAAAAAGACGCCCAAUAAUUUUGCAUAAAGCUCACAGAGGUAGAGACAACUUCCUUUCCCUUACCAUAGGUCAAAUCAUUUCUCAAAUGCCAUGAUCUUCAAAAGAUGAAUAUAAUUGACUCACACAAAUGCAACCCUAAUUGAUCCAUCAAAAUAAAUAACAAAUAUGAACCAUAAAAUUCAAAGAUCUCUUCACUCGGUAAAUUCCAAACCUCCUUCAAACUCCAUAAAAGUGCACAAGCCUUGGGACAUCUUAGCGAGCAUGAAAAACACAUUCAUCUUCAACACACCUGGAAAUUGAGCACAAGCCAUGAAUAGCUUGAUGAUGUUUUACUCUGUUAACUUGAUCCGCCAAACUAUUAGAAGUAGCAUACCAUGCAAAUAUUUUGAUUUUCCUAGAAACAUAAGCCUUACAAAUAAUAUUCGAGAGCCUUCUUUCCCAUUCAAAACAACAAUGGAGCUCCCUAACUACUUUAUUGUCCUUGAGAUUUAGUGCCAACCUAUACGUACUCUUUAUCAAGAAUAACCCUUUUUUCGUAGUGCCAAGCAAUAAAAUCUUCAUCUCCCAAAGUCAGAAUGAGCAACUUUAAAAUUUCCUCGACAUCAUGGGGGGUAAACAUAUGUAUGAUCGGAUUCUCACCACAUCUUCUUGAACCACUCAUGAAUAACUCAGACAUCCAUUUGAGCCUCUUCUUAGCAAACAAAAUUAGCCGGAGUCUCUAGGAAGCAAAUUAUCCCUCCAUAUGUGUAUACUAGCACCAUUGGAAACUCUCCAUAUAACACCCUUUUUCAACAGCUCGGGACCAUGCAUAAUAACUUGCGAAAUAACCGACACCUCUUGAGGGACGACAAUAUCAAUAAGAUAUCCAUGGGGUUAAUAUUUUUCUUUAAUCACCUUUGAACAUAAUCCAAAAAAAACCAAUAAUCAUCAAGCUUGUUUCACCAGAAGCACAUGAUUACAUAGUCUAAUAUCUCGAAACCCUAUAGCUCCCGCACCUUUGGGUCUUGCCAUCUUGUCGUACGCAAGCCAAUAAGUUUUUCUCCUAUUCUCCUCAUCACCCAUCAAUUUUUUUGAUGAUCUAGGAUAAUUAUUCACAAAUCCAUGCAUAACAUUUAAAGAUGCCCAUGGCAUAGGCCGGUAGCGCCUGAAUGACCGACUUAAUCUGGAUUUCCUUCAUCCCACUAGAAGCAUAUUAUUCAAUCUAGUCCAAAAACUACUUUAGCGCUUUAUCUUUGGUAGACUAAAAUUGCCGCCUUCAUUCUACUUGCUCGCACAGGUAAACCAAGAUAUCCUCUCAAAUCCAUCAACCAUGAUUUGAAUUACAACCAAAAUGGGCACUGAUCUUUUAGACAACACAUUUUGCCAAAUAAAAUGGAGCAUUUAUCUCGGUCCAAUAGUUGACCUUUCCCCUCCUCAUAAACCUAAAAAUUCUUCUAAUGGUCAGGGCUUGCUACAAAGAACCCUUGAAAAUAGGAGACUAUCAUAAAAAAACUGUGAGAAUGUCUGUGCAGCCGAAACUCCUAGAUAAUCCCUCUCACAUACGCAUCAUUAAGUAACAAUGGAAGGGCUUCAACCACAAAAGGAACAAGUAUGGAGAUAAAAUGAUUACUUUGCGAGUGACGAUGCAAAAGUUGAAAGAUUCUAACAGAUAGCCAUUAAAACACGCUAAAAAUUUCACUAAAACAACAUAAAUCAUAAUUCACUUAACCCAAACUAGAGCAAAACCAUAUGCUCUCACCAUACUUUCCAAGAAAUUCUAGUCCACACGGUCAUAUGCUUAGAGAGUUUCAACUUGCAUGCAGACUAUUUGUGUCGAAAAUCUUUCAAAAACCUCUAUGAUUGCAUACAUCCAAAGCAAUAAUAGCACUAUCUGAAAUUAAUCUUUCAAGAAUGAUAACACUUUGGGUAGGAAAAAUCAUACCAUCCAACAAAGGGCUCAGUCUAUUAACAAGACACUUGAAUAUAAUUAUAUAUAUGACAUCACAUAAAGUGAUUGGUAAAAAAUCUUUUUCGACCCAGGGUUCUCCACUUUAGGAAUAAGCACAAUAGUUGUAUUAUUUAUCCCUUCCAGCGUGCUUCCAGAAAUAAAGAACAAUUGAACAACAUGAAAAAUAUCUCCCUUGAGUAAACCCUAAUUCCUUUGAAAAAAAACAGCUAGAAAUCCAUCUGGCCUUGAAGCCUUCAACGAACCUAUUUGGAAGAGAGCAUCACUAAUCCCUUGUUGAGAAAAUGAUUUGCAAAGGUCCUCAUUCAUGGUAUGUGACUCUAUGGUAAACACAUCUCAUAUUAUUCCACGUGUGUAACCUUUGGUAAAUGAUUACAGAGAUUUUUGUGUAUGGGAUGGCGAGGUCGCGGUGAGGCGCUGAGCUGCUGCGGGGUUUGGCGGCGACAACAGGCGUGCAGGCGGCGACAGUGUCGUCAUAGGGCGACGCAGUGUGGGCUAGAGCUCGUCUGUGGUGUGGCGGUUGCGCGAGGGGGGGGGGCUCGUCCUCACGCGGAUGCGUGCAUGCUGGUUCCCGGCCAGAUCAGGCUCUAGGUAGCUCGCGGGAGGUGCGGGGUUGGCAGCGACUCAUUCGAUGGUGUCGCGACAUGAGCGGAUGGCGGCGACGUCUCUGUCUAUGUGGCAUUUGCGGGUGUUGGGCCUUGGGUGGAUGCGAGCACAGUUGGGUGGCCGGUCCUAACGACCUGACACGCGACACGGGAGACGGGUGGCGCACUGAUGGUUGCGUUGGUGGCCAGCCAGGUGUGGUACAUGGGAGGCAGGCCAGGACAUCGCCCCUGCGCCGAAUCUGGCAUGGUUUCGGGUGUAUGUGGGGGGACUUGAAGUGCCUUCGACUGGAGGUUGCUCGGUGUGGCUGUUGUGAUGGUCGGAGAGCGUGAUGGUGGUUCCUGGGAACGCGCAAGGAUGGUUGGUUGCACGUUGCUCUAGCCGUUUAUUCCCCUGGCUGCGGGUGUGUGGAAGUGGGUCACACGACUUCUUGGCGGAGCUAGACUGGGGCUGGAGGUGGUGGCUAGCUGGAGGUGGAUUGCGUGAGUGGCCUUUGGAGGCGGCCCCGACGACAAGAGUUGUCGGCUACCUACGACAUCCCUGUCUCGAUGUGAACGAUCAGAUCUGAUGGGGCAGUCUUCGCCCUCCUCGAUGGUGUUCUCCCAAAGUUGGUUGAGAGCGCCAUUGUCCCUUGGCCAUAUCUCACGAUGUCGAGUGGGGACCCAAGGUUGUUGGGGUGGCGUCUGAAAGUGCAUCAUUGCCCUGAAUUAUUUUUGACAUCUAUGACAAUUUCAUUUGUAUUUCUAAACACAUGCUCUAGUGUAAACAUCUCCGACAAAAGUAAAGAGAAGCAUGGAUAUGGUUAUUUCCCCUCUACUCGGAAAAAGGAAAAGUCAGAGUUCCAUGAAAGUUUUUCUUUCUUUCUUGAGUCCUUAGGGCAACUGCACUAUUAAGAGGGGAUGCAUCGUGAAAAUUAUCUAGGAAUCAACUCUUCAUAAAAACAAGUUCUCGAAAACCAAUUCUAAGAUCUGUCAAAAUUGACACUGCAAAGCCUCUGUCUUAGGUCAGAACUUCCGGGGCGGACGGAACUUCCCGGGACCAUAAGGCCCGAGGAGCUUCCGGGCCAACCAGAGAAACUGCCAGCCUCUGUGCAAUGUUUCUGUUUAGGCUGGAACCUUGCCAGACCCUGGCCGAAACUUCGAGGGAGGCCGGAACUUCUGUCCCGAUCCUGUCUGCUUUCGAGGGACUCCAACCGGGUGCAAUCAUUCUAUUCAAACCGGUACCUUCGCGGAGCCUGGUCGUAACUUCCGGGGUGCGGAACCUCCGGUCCCCCCGGAACUUCCGGGGUUGGCAGAAAUGUGGCCCCCAACGGCUGGAUUUCUUCCCCACCUAUAAAUAGCCUUCUCCUUCCCGAGGCACCGUAAAAACUCCAUUUUUCUCACUCCACCAUUUUCAAACCUCUAUUUCUUAGAGUUCCCCCUCCUUAGCCAACCAAAGCUCUUGAUGUUUUGAGGAGUGAAGGAGGAGUUCCUGAUCUACACAUUCACCAAAGAAAAAGUUGAUCCCCCUUGUUUUCAGGAUGCAUCUUGUAACUCUUGGAGGUUGGAGACUCUUAGGCGGUAGGAGUACUCCGACGAGGAAUCGUUCAUUGUGAUUACCCCCAAAAAGUUUGUGAGGGUUUGGAGACCACCCCAAGGUCUACCACUAGUGGUUGAGAAUCGCCUUCGUGGUGUUGUAUCAAAGAGAUAAUAGGGUGGGCCUUCCUAGCGUUGGUGUGCCUUUGUGGUAACAUCCACAUUUCUAAACGGUGACAUAGCUUCCCUCCAAUAAAUUGAACAUCGGUAUACAUCCUCGUCUCUAGGAGUUGUGGUUAUCUCUAACCCUAAUCCUCUACUUGUGGUUAUUUUUCUUUGUGAUAUUUCUUAUAUUACUUGUAUUACAUGUGCUUAACUCUUUAAUUAAUUGUUGUAUUGCUUAGUACGCGUAGCACGACUACCAUCUUUGCAAUUGUUAGGCUCACCUUCAUAUUCUGCAUUACUGCCUAAAAUUGCUAAGAAACAAUUAAAAAUUGUAAUCGUACCUAUUCACCCCCUCUAGGACCAUCUCGAUCCUUUCAAUUGGUAUCAGAGCCUCGUGCUCUAAUUUAGUGGCUUAACCGUCCUAGAUCGAGAUGGAUAAGGUUGGGAACCCGUUGCGUGCUCCUCCUCUUGAAGGAGAAGCUUCAUCCAUAUAUGAAGGGAGAUAUUUCACUUCUUAAGAUCUCGAACGGAUCCUCGCUAAGAAGAACGAGGAGCAUGAUGCUUCUAUUGAGGCUUUGGUAAAAGUGAGGUUGGAAGCAUUUGGUGCGAAAAUUACAUCACCGGAGAACCCAAUUCGUGUGUUAAAAUAAUCAAUUGCAUCCAUUCCUAAUUCGGGGCAACAACCUCCACCUCACAACAAUAUCGGUGUUCCUUGGCUAUAUGCUGAACCUAGAGUGGAGAAACCUAAGUAUAAUAUUUUGGGAAAUCCUCCUUUACUUGAUGACACUGCCGAUUUUUCUUUGUGGAGAGUUGGUAUGCAGGAUCAUCUUAGGUUUGCCAACGAUGAAAUGCCGGAGAUCUUGGAGAAAGGUUACAACCCUCUGAACCCCAAGGAUCUCACACCGAGUGAAGUAUAUGACAGACACCUCAAUGGCACCACGAUCAUGCUCAUAAGAAAAGGCAUGCGUGACAAGCAGAAAAGGCCUUACAUUCACGUAUCAAAUGCAAAAGAACUUUGGGAUAGCAUUAUGAUGACAAAGACGGGAACAUCCUCUCUUCGUCUUGCACAAUAUGAGAUAGCAAAAGGAGCAUUGCAAUACUUCUGCAUGUAGAAAGGAGAGACCCCAAGCAUCUUCUUGAAAGAUCGAUGACACUUGCUGUCGACAUAGAAUCAUAUGACUGUGACAAGAGUCGAGAUGGAUUCAAUCUGACGAAACGGUUUCUUGUGGAUAAAAUUCUAAAUGCUCUUGCCCCGUACCACCAUCAAAUGGUAUGGGACAUAAGGAGAGAACAUGGUUUUAAGGACAUAUCUCUUGAUGAUGUCAUCUCUGCCUUCCAACUAUUCCAAGAAUCAAAGGCCAAUGCUACAAGGCAUCUUGCCAUGCAUGGCUCCUCAUCACCCAAGACAAAUCUUGCGUUGAAGGCCAAACACGUGAAGGAUGACGAUGAUGUCAGUGAAGAAGAAGAGGAACAUGAAGAGGAAGGCUAUGAAGAUGAAUCAAAUGACGAGCUCUCAUAUGAAGACAUGGAUCUUUGUCAAGAAGUUUAGUGCUGGAAAAUUCAAGGGAAUAUUCCAAAAGAAGAAAGUAAGGACUUGUUACAAUUGUGAAUAAACCAACCACUUCUCAAACAAGUGUCCUUAUGAUAAGAGAGAAGACAAACCAAGAUUUCUGAAGACCUUUGUGAAGAAGAAGUUGCCUAACCCAUUAAAAUCCAAGUUCAGAAAAAGAGAUGGGAAGGCAAUGGUUUCUCAAGAUGAAUCCGGCCCCGAUGAUGUUGGGGGUGUUGUAGCAUAGCACAAGACACUCAAACCACAUUAAUACUGUUCAACAAAAGUUGUGAUGUUGUCACAUACAACUACAUGAAAGACUACAAAGGUAAUGCACACAAAUGCCUCAUGGCUCAAGAUGUGAUGGAAGAUGAUGAGGGACAGACAUCUUGAGACAAGGUGAAGGUAACUCCACGACCUAACCCUUCUCUAUUUUCCUCCAACACAUCUAGUGAUGAAUAUGUUGAUGCUCAGGAUCGUGAUCAUGAGACUGAAAUUAGUGAUGCUAUGUUUGCUAAAAUGAAGAAAGUCAUGUGCUCCCUCAAAGGAAAGAAGAUCAUUACGUUUCGUAUGCUUAUGGAGAUGGUGAGUAAGGACGCCACUUCCAUUAAGAACACAAAAACCUCGUUACCGAGGAAAAGGACAAAUGCGAAAUCCUUGAGCAGAAAGUCCUAUAUGAGGAAGCACAUAAUGACAAAUUGUGCUUAAAAAUAGGUGCAAACAUUGAUAAGAACACUGAAGAACUUGCCUCUUUAACAAAGACUGGAAAUGAUUAUGAAGUGUUAAAAAGAGACAAACGUAAGUUUGACGAGUCUCACUCCGCUCUUUCUAAAGAUUGUGAGCUCUUACAUUUGUCUCUCAAGACAAAGGAGGUAGAUCUCAACACUCUUACAAAGAAGUUUGACAAACUCAAGCUUACAUAUCUUAACAUUCUAGGCAAAGUUUACUCCUCUCCUGUUGUAAAUGUUGAUGCUUGUGCUACUAAUCCCAGUGGUGACCUAGCUAGUGUUCUUGAGGAGAACCGGUUGCUAAAAGCUCAAGUUGAAAAAGGGCUCAUGUCAUGUGCCCAAGGACAAAAGAACCUCAAUGAAGUGUUGAGUCAACACAAGGAGGUUGUGGCGAAAGAAGGGCUUGCAUUUUAUCCAAGCCGGAACAGGAAUGCAAUAACGAUACAUAAGUCCACUGCUCCUCUCGAGGAGAUAUUUGUUCGGAAAGGGCACAAGGAAGACAGAUUGGGAGACGUUGAGAAGGUUGCGAGUAGGAAGGCCACUAGGGGCCAGCCUGCUCCCAACAAGCCAAAAGAAUGCAUGCCUCCAUCAUAUGUGCUCCGUAAGGCAAAAGAUGGAGCUGUGUAUGCUAAAUUUUUUGCCCUCGAAAUGCUUUUCGAUUCUAUGCAAUUUGGGUGCCUAAGACCCUUGUUACUAACAUGAGGGGUCUGAUGUCUACUACACUACCUUCUCCUUGUAGACGUUGUUGGGCCUCCAAGUGCAGAGGCUUGUAGGACAGUAGCAAUUUUCCCUCAAGUGGGUGACCUAAGGUUUAUCAAUCCGCGGGAGGCGUAGGAUGAAGAUAGUCUCUCUCAAGCAACCCUGCAACCAAAUAACAAAGAGUCUCUUGUGUCCCCAACACACCUAAUACAAUGGUAAGUUGCAUAGGUGCACUAGUUCGGCGAAGAGAUGGUGAUACAAGUGCAAUAUGGAUGGUAGAUAUAGGUUUUUGUAAUCUGAAAUUACAAAAACAGGAAGGUAACUAGUAAAAAAAGUGAGCACGAACGGUAUUGCAAUGCGUGGAAACAAGGCCUAGGGUCCAUACUUUCACUAGUGAAGUUUUCUCAACAAUAAUAACAUAAUUGGAUCAUAUAAAUAGCCCUCAACAUGCAACAAAGAGUCACUCCAAAGUCACUAAUAGCGGAGAACAAACGAAGAGAUUAUUGUCUGGUACGAAACCACCACAAAGUUAUUCUUUCUGAUCGAUCUAUUCAAGAGUCCGUAGUAAAAUAACACGAAGCUAUUCUUUCCGUUCGAUCCAUCAUAGAGUUCGUACUAGAAUAACACCUUAAGAUACAUAUCAACCAAGACCCUAAUGUCACCUAGAUACUCCAUUAUCACCUGAAGUAUCUGUGGGCAUGAUUAUACAUAUGCAUCACAUCAUCUCAGAAUCAUCUAUUCAACCAACACAUAGAACUUCAAAGAGUGCCCCAAAGUUUCUACCGGGGAGUCAAAACGUGUGCCAACCCCUAUGCAUAGGUUCCCAAUGUCACGAACCCGCAAGUUGAUCAACAAAACAUACAUCAAGUACUCACAUGAAUCAAACGUGUGCCAACCCAUAUGCAUAGGUUCCAAAUGUCACAAACCCGCAAGUUGAUCACAUCAGAUAGACACGUGAAAGACAUACAUCAAGUGUUCUCAAAGACUCAAUCCGAUAAGAUAACUCCAAAGGGGAAACUCAAUUCAUUACAAGAGGGAGAGGGGGAAGAACAUCAUAAGAUCCAACUAUAGUAGCAAAGCCCAUGGUACAUCGAGAUCAAGAUAUCCCAAGAACACGAGAGAGAGAGAGAGAUCAAACACAUAGCUACUGGUACAUACCCUCAACCCUGAGGGAGAACUACUCCCUCCUCUUCAUGGAGAUUGUCGGGAUGAUGAAGAUGGCCACCGGAGAUUGAUCCCCCCUCUGGCAGGGUGCCGGAACGGGCUCCAGAUUGGUUUUUGGUGGCUACGGAGGCUUGCAGCGGCGGAACUCCCGAUCUAGGUUUCUUUUUGUGGGUUUCUGAAUUUACAGGAAUUUAUGGCGGUGGAAUUAUGUCGGUUGGGCCCACGAGGAGGUCACAAGCCUGGUUGCCACAACCUAGGGGGUGGUGGCGGCGUCAGGGCUUGUGACUCCCUCGUGGCUCUUCUGGCCUUCUUUCAAAGCUUCGGGGGUCUCUUUUGGUCCAAAAAAAUCAUCGUAAAGUUUCAUUCCAUUUGGACUCCGUCUAAAAAUGGGCCAAAAACACGAAAAAAACAGAAACUGGCACUUGGCACUGAGUUAAUAGGUUAGUCCCAAAAAAUAUAUAAAAUAGCAUAUUCAUGCAUAUAAACAAUCCAAAGUUGACAAGAUAAUAGCAUGGAACCAUAAAAAAUUAUAGAUACGUUGGAGACGUAUCAAGCAUCCCCAAGCUUAACUCCUGCUCGUCCUCAAGUAGGGAAGUGAUAAAGAAUGAAUUUUUGAUGCUUUCAUGCUACCUAGCAUAGAUGUCCUUUGUAACUCCUCUUAUGUGACAUGAAUGUUCAGAUCCGUUAGAUUCAAAACAAUAGUUUGCUAUUGACGUGGAAACAAUAAUUAUUGAAGCAAACUAGCAAGGUAAUCAUGAACUUUCGAAAUAACAAGGCCAAAAGAAAGUUAUCCCUACAAAAGCAUAUAGUCUGGCUAUGCUCUAUCAUCAUUGCACAACGAAUUUAAAUCUUGCACAACCCCGUUAUUGGCCAAGUAAUUGUUUCACGCCUUUACUUUCUCAAACCUUUUCAACUCUCACGCAAUACAUGAGCGUGAGCCAUGGUUUUAGCACUAUAGAUGGUGUGGAGUGUGGUGGAGGUUGCAAGACAAAAAAGGAGAAGAUAAUCACAUUAACUAGGCAUAGCAAUGAGCUGUGGAAAUGCUCAUCAAUAGAUAUCAAUGUAAAUGAGUAGGGAUUGCCAUACAAAUGAUGCACUAGAGCUAAGAGUAUGUGAAAGCUCUUUAAAGAAAACUAGUGGGUGUGCAUCCAACUUGCUUGCUCACGAAGACCUAAGGCAAUUUUGAGGAAGCCUAUCAUUGGAAUAUACAAGCCAAGUUAUAUAAUGAAAAUUUCCCACUAGCUAUAUGGUGGUGACAAAACGAGAUACUCUCAAUCAUGAAGAUCAUGGUGCUUAAUAUCCACAAGUGUGGAAAAGUGGUAGCAUUGUCCCUUCUCUCUUUUUCUCUCAUAUAUAUUUUUUGGUGGGCUCUUUGGCCUCUUUAUUAUUAUUCCCCCCCCUUUAUUUUGGUGGGCAUCUUUGGCCUAUUUUAUUUCCUCACAUGGGACAAUGCUCCAUCAAUGAUGAUCAUCACACUUUCAACACAAAACUUAGAGCAACGAUGACUCCAUAUGGAAUGCCUUCGGUAGUGUACCGUGACAAUGAUCUAGCAUGGCAUAGACAUUAAAUGAAACAUCAUGCUAGCUAUCUUAAGAUCAUGCAAUGGAAAUUUAGAUGUGGUGGCACAUGUCAUGGUGGUAUUUGCAUGGAAAUAUAUCUUGGAAUGACUUUGAAAAAUCCAUAGUAGGUAGGUAUGGUGGCUGUUUUGAGGGAGGCUAAUGGUGGGUUUUGUGCACCGGCGAAAGUUGCACGACACUAAGAAGAUAGUGAUGGUGGUAAGUGAAAGUGCAUCUAAACCAUGGACUCAACAUUAAUCAUGAAGAACUCAUAUACUUGUUGCAAAAGUUUUAUUAGUAAUCGAAACAAAGCAUACAACGCAUACUCCUAGGGGAAGGGUUGGUAGGUAUAAACCAUCGCGCGAUCCCAACCGCCACGCAAAGGAUGACAAUCAAUAUACUAAUCAUGCUCAGAUUUCAUCACAUAGCGGUUCACCAUACGUGCAUGCUACGGGAAUCACUAACUUCAACACAAGUAUUUCUAGAUCCACAACACCUUACUAGCAUGACUUUAAUAUUACCAUAACCACAACUCAAAACUAAUUGAGAUGAAUCAAACUCCUCUAACUAUUCAAUGCACAUGAAGGUGGAAGUUUUCGUAUCCCUUUUUAUAACUACCCAUUUUGAGGCUACUUUCAAAGCAUAGAUCAACUACCAAGCCACGCACCGCUGCGCUCUAAAAGAUAUAAGCGAAGUACAUAGAGCAAAAGUAUCUAGCUCAAAAGAUAUAAGUGAAGCACAUGUGAGUUGAAUUGUCUACCACAAGAUAUAAGUGAAGCUCGACAAAAUCAUGGUGUGUGCAUGUCUCUCUCUCUAGGUGUGCAGCAAGGAUGAUUGUGACACAACAAAAAUCAAAGACUCCUACGAUACAAGAUGCUCCAAGCAAAAACACAUAACAUGUGGCGAAUAAAAAUAUAGCACCAAGUAAUGUUAUCGACGGAUUGAAGACGAGAGAGGGGAUGCCUUCCCGGGGCAUCCCCAAGAUUAGGCUUUUUCGGCAUCCUUGAAUCAAAUUGGGGUGCCUUGGGCAUCCCCAAGCUUGAGCUCUUGCCAAUCUUUAUCUCUUUGUCCAUAAGAACUUCACCCAGAACUUGAAAACUUCACAACACAAAACUUAAACAGAAACUCGUGAUAUCAUUAGUAUAAGAAAGAAAAUCACCACUUCCUUAGGUACUGUAGCAAACUUAAAUUCUACUUAUGUUGGUGUUGGGUUGCUAUAUUUUCACUUUUCCAUGGCUAGUACCCUCCGAUACUAUCCAUAAUUUCAUCAAAAUAAGCAACCAACUCAACAAAAAAACAGAAUCUGUUAACAACAGACCAGUCUGUAGCAAUAUGUAUACUUCGUAUACUUCUGGUACGUCAAAAACUCUGAAAAAUUACUACAGUCUGAAGAAAUUGCAUAGAAAUCAGCAGCAAAAAGAAUCAACUCAAAAUCUCUUACAGAAUAAAAAUGAAAAUUCUUUUCGUGAGCAGAAAGUUUCUGUCUUUUUCCAGCAUGAUCAAACAAUCAUCACCAAGACUAAUCAUAACGGUUUUGCUUGGCACAAACACAAAAAGAAACACAAAAUACACAAUCAUAACAGAAUUAUGAUGGUGUGGAGAAAACAAAACAGGAACCAAAAAGCAAAGAAAAAUUUAUUCAUUGGGUUGCCUCCCAACAAGCGCUAUCGUUUAACGCCCUUAGCUAGGCAUUGAUUUCAAUGAUGCUCACAUAAAAGGUAAGGAUUGAAACACAACGAGAGCAUCAUGGAGCAAAUGGCUAGCACAUUUAAGUCUAACCCACUUCCUGGAUUUUGUGAUCAAACAAUUUAUUGGAGCAAUAAUCAACUAGCAUAGGAAGGCAAAACAAGCAUAGCUUCAAACAUUUCAACAUAUGGAGAGGAAGCUUGAUACUAUUGCAAUAAGUAGAAGCAUAUGAUCCUCUCUCAUAGUAAUUUUUAGUAACAUCAUGAAUGAAUUCAACAAUAUAACCAGCACCUAAAGCAUUCUUUUCAUGAUCUACAAGCAUAGAAAUUUUACUACUCUCCACAUAAGGAAAUCUUUUCUCAAGAAUAGUAGUGGGAUUAUCGUAAAAGACUUGAGCACUACAAAUUGUGUCCACUAUGAAAAAGCAAGGUUUAGCAAAGGGGUUUUAGAAAGUAUGACAAGUUUUAUCAUCCCUCUUCUUCAAAGCAUAAGUAUUCUCACAAUAAUCAUCAAAGAUAGGGGGCAUUCUUUCAUCAAAAUAAUUUUGAUCAUUCAAAGUGGAAGAACUAAAAAUAUCAUCUUCAUCAAAUAUAGCAUCCCCAAGCUCGUGGCUUUGCAUAUCAUUAGCAUCAUGGGUAUUCAAAGAAUUCAUGCUAAAAACAUUGCAAUCAUGCUCAUCCUUCACAUAUUCUAUGCCAAGCAUUCUAUGUAAUUCUUCUUUCAGCACUUGAGCACUAUUUUCCUUCCCAUAAUGCUCACGAAAGACAUUGAAAAGAUGGAGCAUAUGAGGCAUCCUCAAUUCCAUUUUUUUGUAGUUUUCUAGCUAAAGAACAAGAAACAAAAAGAUUCGAUUGCAAGAUCUAAAGAUAUACCUUCAAGCGCUAACCUCCCUGGCAACGGCGCCAGAAAAGAGCUUGAUGUCUACUACGCAACCUUCUCCUUGUAGACGUUCUUGGGCCUCCAAGUGUAGAGGGUUGUAGGACAGUAGCAAUUUUCCCUCAAGUGGGUGACCUAAGGUUUAUAAAUCCAUGGGAGGCGUAGGAUGAAGAUGAUCUCUCUCAAGCAACCCUGCAACCAAAUAACAAAGAGUCUCUUGUGUCCCCAACACACCUAAUACAAUGGUAAGUUGUAUAGGUGCACUAGUUCGGCGAAGAGAUGGUGAUACAAGUGCAAUAUGGAUGGUGGAUAUAGGUUUUUGUAAUCUGAAGUUACAAAAACAGCAAGGUAACUAGUAACAAAAGUGAGCACGAACGGUAUUGCAAUGUGUGGAAACAAGGCCUAGGGUUCAUACUUUCACUAGUGAAGUUCUCUUAACAAUGAUAACAUAAUUGGAUCAUAUAACUAGCCCUCAACAUGCAACAAAGAGUCACUCCAAAGUCACUAAUAGCGGAGACCAAACGAAGAGAUUAUUGUCGGGUAUGAAACCACCACAAAGUUAUUCUUUCUUAUCGAUAUAUUUAAGAGUCUGUAGUAAAAUAACACGAAGCUAUUCUUUCCGUUCGAUCCAUCAUAGAGUUCGUACUAGAAUAACACCUUAAGAUACAUAUCAACCAAGACCCUAAUGUCACCUAGAUACUCCAUUGUCACCUCAAGUAUCCGUGGGCAUGAUUAUACGAUAUGCAUCACAUAAUCUCACAAUCAUCUAUUCAACCAACACAUAGAACUUCAAAGAGUGCCCCAAAGUUUCUACCAGAGAGUCAAAACGUGUGCCAACCCCUAUGCAUAGGUUCCCAAUGUCACAAACCCGCAAGUUGAUCACCAAAACAUACAUCGAGUACUCAGAUGAAUCAAACGUGUGCCAACCCANNNNNNNNNNNNNNNNNNNNNNNNNNNNNNNNNNNNNNNNNNNNNNNNNNNNNNNNNNNNNNNNNNNNNNNNNNNNNNNNNNNNNNNNNNNNNNNNNNNNCAAAGAAGAUUACAUCGGAUAGAUCUCCAUGAAGAUCAUGGAGAACUUUGUAUUGAAGAUCCAAGAGAGAGAAUAAGCCAUCUAGCUAAUAACUACGGACCCAUAGGUCUGAAGUGAACUACUCACGAGUCAUUGGAGGGGCGAUGAUGAUGAUGAAGAAGCCCUCCGACUCCAAAGUCCCCUCUGGCAGGGCGCCGGGAAGGGUCUCCAGAUGAGAUCUCGCGGAAACGGAAGCUUGCGGUAGCGGAAAAGUAUUUUCGAGGCUCCCCUGAUUUUUUGCGGAAUAUUUGGGAAUUUAUAGGCCAAAGAUCUAGGUCAGGGGGCGGCCAGGGAGGCCACAAGCCUGCCCACCGCCGCCUCCCCCCUGGUGGCGGAGUGGGGGCUUGUGGGCUCCCUGGAGCCCACCUGGCUUGGCCCAAAAGCCCCCGGGACUUCUUCCGUUCGGGAAAAAAUCAUUUUGGGUUUUUUCUUCCGUUUGGACUCCGUUCCAAAAUCAGAUCUGAAAAAAGUCAAAAACACGGAAAAAACAGGAACUGGCACUUGGCACUGAAUUAAUAAGUUAGUCCCAAAAAGAUAUAAAAAGGUACGUAAAACAUACAAAGAAGGCAAGAUAACAGAGUGAAACCAUCAAAAAUUAUAGAUACGUUUGAGACGUAUCAAUGACUUCAACAAACAAACAAGCACACAAGCAAGCAAGAAAACCGGCAAAGGAAAAUGGCAAAGGGCAAAAGAAAGCGGCAAAGGAAAACGACAAAAAGGCAAAAGAAAAAGGCAACGGAGAAAGGCAAAUGAAAAUGGCAAAUGUGAAGUGGGGGAGAGGAAAACGAGAGGCAACUGGCAAAAAAAGUAAAUGCAAGAGAUGAGUUUGUGAGACCUACUUGGAUAGAUCUCUCCUUCCCCGGCAACGGCGCCAGAAAUACUUCUGCUACUGCAACAAAAGACCUUCCAACGGCCCCAGAAACAAGCGUGCUGACGGAAGACUAUUCUUGUCUUGAUACUCCUCAGCAACGGCACCAGGAAUCCUUUUGCUACGGCUACGCCUUUAGGGACUUCCUUGGCAAAUAUGCAAAGGAUUCCCCCGUGGCCUUGGAGCCUUGCGUUGGUGUUCCCUCGAAGCGGAAAGGGUGAUAUNNNNNNNNNNNNNNNNNNNNNNNNNNNNNNNNNNNNNNNNNNNNNNNNNNNNNNNNNNNNNNNNNNNNNNNNNNNNNNNNNNNNNNNNNNNNNNNNNNNNACCCGUACCCGUAGCCGCCACCGUCGGCGCCCCAGGGCAGGAUCUUCCAGCUCUGGUUCUCGCCCUUGCAGAACUCCCAGAGGACGACGGCGGUGCCGUCGUGCACCCCGCCGUGGGGCUUGUCGCCGUGGAGGGCGUCGAAGCUGAGGCUGAGGUUGUUGACCAUGCGGAUGCAGCGGAAGCCCUUGCCGACGUCGUUGCUCUCCGUCCACAGCACCGACUCGUCCUCGAACGCCGGGUUGUAGGGGAUGAGCUUGACGGGGUGGGACUGGCCGAGCGAGUGCUUCACGGCCAGCCCCGUGGCCUUGUUCACCAGCGCGAACGCCGGGUGCCCCUCCGCGUCGCUCACCCUC
This 25102-nucleotide long non-coding RNA is filed under the name Hordeum vulgare. RNAcentral describes it as "long non-coding RNA (HVUL_LNC002846)". The record is from RNAcentral. Lineage: Eukaryota; Viridiplantae; Streptophyta; Magnoliopsida; Poales; Poaceae.